This 1288-nucleotide ribosomal RNA is filed under the name Staphylococcus epidermidis. RNAcentral describes it as "bacterial SSU rRNA". It matches the Rfam family "Bacterial small subunit ribosomal RNA", at positions 128 to 1402 of the family's 1533-position model. Lineage: Bacteria; Bacillati; Bacillota; Bacilli; Caryophanales; Staphylococcaceae. The record is from RNAcentral.
ACCUAUAAGACUGGGAUAACUUCGGGAAACCGGAGCUAAUACCGGAUAAUAUAUUGAACCGCAUGGUUCAAUAGUGAAAGACGGUUUUGCUGUCACUUAUAGAUGGAUCCGCGCCGCAUUAGCUAGUUGGUAAGGUAACGGCUUACCAAGGCAACGAUGCGUAGCCGACCUGAGAGGGUGAUCGGCCACACUGGAACUGAGACACGGUCCAGACUCCUACGGGAGGCAGCAGUAGGGAAUCUUCCGCAAUGGGCGAAAGCCUGACGGAGCAACGCCGCGUGAGUGAUGAAGGUCUUCGGAUCGUAAAACUCUGUUAUUAGGGAAGAACAAAUGUGUAAGUAACUAUGCACGUCUUGACGGUACCUAAUCAGAAAGCCACGGCUAACUACGUGCCAGCAGCCGCGGUAAUACGUAGGUGGCAAGCGUUAUCCGGAAUUAUUGGGCGUAAAGCGCGCGUAGGCGGUUUUUUAAGUCUGAUGUGAAAGCCCACGGCUCAACCGUGGAGGGUCAUUGGAAACUGGAAAACUUGAGUGCAGAAGAGGAAAGUGGAAUUCCAUGUGUAGCGGUGAAAUGCGCAGAGAUAUGGAGGAACACCAGUGGCGAAGGCGACUUUCUGGUCUGUAACUGACGCUGAUGUGCGAAAGCGUGGGGAUCAAACAGGAUUAGAUACCCUGGUAGUCCACGCCGUAAACGAUGAGUGCUAAGUGUUAGGGGGUUUCCGCCCCUUAGUGCUGCAGCUAACGCAUUAAGCACUCCGCCUGGGGAGUACGACCGCAAGGUUGAAACUCAAAGGAAUUGACGGGGACCCGCMCAAGCGGUGGAGCAUGUGGUUUAAUUCGAAGCAACGCGAAGAACCUUACCAAAUCUUGACAUCCUCUGACCCCUCUAGAGAUAGAGUUUUCCCCUUCGGGGGACAGAGUGCCAGGUGGUGCAUGGUUGUCGUCAGCUCGUGUCGUGAGAUGUUGGGUUAAGUCCCGCAACGAGCGCAACCCUUAAGCUUAGUUGCCAUCAUUAAGUUGGGCACUUUAAGUUGACUGCCGGUGACAAACCGGAGGAAGGUGGGGAGGACGUCAAAUCAUCAUGCCCCUUAUGAUUUGGGCUACACACGUGCUACAAUGGACAAUACAAAGGGCAGGGAAACCGCGAGGUCAAGCAAAUCCCAUAAAGUUGUUCUCAGUUCGGAUUGUAGUCUGCAACUCGACUAUAUGAAGCUGGAAUCGCUAGUAAUCGUAGAUCAGCAUGUUACGGUGAAUACGUUCCCGGGUCUUGUACACACCGCCCGUCACAC